This 1034-nucleotide ribosomal RNA is filed under the name uncultured crenarchaeote. RNAcentral's name for it is "bacterial SSU rRNA". It matches the Rfam family "Archaeal small subunit ribosomal RNA", at positions 323 to 1353 of the family's 1478-position model. The record is from RNAcentral. Lineage: Archaea; Thermoproteati; Thermoproteota.
UGACGGGGUGCAGCAGGCGCGAAACCUUCGCAAUGUGCGAAAGCAUGACGAGGUUACUCCGAGUGUCAUCCGCUGAGGGUGACUUUUACUAGGCAUAAAUUACCUAGAGAAUAAGGGGAGGGCAAGUCUGGUGUCAGCCGCCGCGGUAAUACCAGCUCCCCGAGUGGUUGGGACGUUUAUUGGGCCUAAAGCAUCCGUAGCCGGUCUUGUAGGUCUUCUGUUAAAUUCAAUAGCUCAACUAUUGAGCCGCAGGAGAUACCGCAGGACUAGGAGGCGGGGGAGGUGGACGGUACUCAAUGGGUAGGGGUAAAAUCCUUUGAUCCAUUGAAGACCACCAGUGGCGAAGGCGGUCCACCACAACGCGCUCGACGGUGAGGGAUGAAAGCUGGGGGAGCGAACCGGAUUAGAUACCCGGGUAGUCCCAGCUGUAAACGAUGUGAGCUAGGUGAUGGGGUGGCUAUGGGCCAUCCCAGUGCCCCCAGGGAAGGCCGUUAAGCUCACCCCCCUGGGAAGUACGGCCGCAAGGCUGAAACUUAAAGGAAUUGGGCGGGGGAGCACCACAAGGGGUGAAGCCUGCGGUUUCAAUUGGAGUCAACGCCGGGAACCUUUCCGGGGGAGACAGCAGGAUGAAAGUCAAGCUGAAGACUUUACUAGACAAGCUGAGAGGAGGUGCAUGGCCGUCGCCAGCUCGUGCCGUGAGGCGUCCUGUUAAGUCAGGUAACGAGCGAGACCCCUAUUGUUAAUUGCUAUUUUUACUCGUGAGAGUAGAAAAGCUAGUUAAUGAGACUGCUGCCGCUAAGGCGGAGGAAGGAGGGGGCCACGGCAGGUCAGUAUGCCCCGAAACCCUCGGGCCACACGCGGGCUGCAAUGGUAGGGACAAUGAGCUCCGACUUCGAAAGAGGAAGGCAAUCUCCAAACCCUACCCCAGUUGUGAUUGAGGGCUGAAACUCGCCCUCAUGAAUAUGGAAUCCCUAGUAACCGCGUGUCACCACCGCGCGGUGAAUACGUCCCUGCUCCUUGCACGAAUUCGCCGA